This is a long non-coding RNA of Homo sapiens (human), 1720 nucleotides long. Ensembl annotates it as mir-100-let-7a-2-mir-125b-1 cluster host gene. Its record names the gene MIR100HG. Lineage: Eukaryota; Metazoa; Chordata; Mammalia; Primates; Hominidae. The record is from Ensembl.
AUAGACCAGCCGGUGCUGAUGGGGUCCGGGACUUGACGAUGGCGCCUGCUCGUUCCUGUUGUGUUCUAUCUGAGGCAUGAUUUUCUUUCGUUUUUGGGAGGUAGAGAGCACGGGGCAGAGGUUGCACCUGACACAUUAGAACUCCGUUGUCACUGCUGUGGCUGUUAUUCCCCUCGGCAAGAGCCAAGGAGCAAACAGGACGUGAAGAUCCCGGUGUUACACAUCCAAUCGUUCACCUCCUUCCAAGACUAUGACAUUCCAGGAAACCUUCACUGCUAAGAGGAACUAAGAUCUAGAGUAUCUCCUCGAGGAAGUACAACUGGUGGGGAGCAGUAUGUGUCCAGAGCUCUAGAGGGACCGAAAGGCCAAGUGUCCACGGUGGCAAGAGAAUCCAGGAGACUGGACCAUCAAGUCUUUUACUCAGAGACUGGAGACCACGCCUUACCUCUCGGAACAGCCCUGUGUGAACCUCCGACUUUAUGAUACGUUGUGAUUGUGAUACAGGACUUCCCAUGCAGCGCGUAAGCCAUGCAGGCUUAUUACUCACACCACACUCACCUGGACCCAGAGACCUCCAGGCACUGAGGACUGCGUCUCCCGGAAGUAUUUCCCUGAGAAAUUGCAGAGGACCUCAGUCCUGCAACUCACACAGAGGCUGUUCUUCGUGGCCGGAACCGGACCCCACGCCCUCUGGGGCACAUCCCUGAGUGCGAGCACUCUUCUCUCGCCCUCCUCCCACCCAGGCACCGUCCCAACUGGGCACUGCCUUGCUAUGCCCCACAUCUCCCACAAGGGGGAGCCGCCGGAGGGCAGCUGGGGCUGCGGAAUUUUGGAAGCGCAGAAGUUUUCUCCUCCUGUCCUGUAACUGGUUUUCACUCACUCAACUGAGAGAUUUCUUUGUUGCAAUGAUGGGGUCUAAGAUAACACUUCUGGAGGCUGCAGGCGAGAAACACAGCUGAUAUCAUCUUUUAUUGUGUGUUGUUAUUUGCCUAGCAUUAUAAAUUAAGGAGGAAUAGUAACAAAGAGCUUGAAGACAUGCACAGCUCACAGGCCCCGGGUGGAGGCUGGCGACAUCAGACAGACAGAACCAAGACAUCUGAGGGGCAACCAGGAGGUGCGUGUGGCUGCAGAGCACACAGACUUGUCUUUGGACAAAAUUGAGAAGAACUCAUAAACUUGGCUUCCUCGCUUCUGCUCCUCAGACCCCUGCAAACAUGACUUACCUUGGAAACUAUAAGAAAGGAUGGCCUUAUGUGAGGACACUCAUCAUCCUGGCGUUAAUGUGCUUCUCUUCUAUUUGGCAUUUGAGUCCAACACUACCUGAUCUCAGUCCUUCUUUUUAGAAUCAAUAUUUCCAUAGCAAGUGUAGCAUCAUCUUAAAUGGGGAAUCCCACUUUUUUUUUUUAAAGCUAGAGAUGGCAGUUUGGUGGGAUUGGCCAAAAAUAAUUUGAAGAAAGAAUGCACUAAGGGUGAAAAUGUUAUGUUUAUAAAAAUAUUAUGAAAGCUAAAUGUGAUGCACUUGAAAAAUGUGGCAGGAUAUUUCACUGUAUAUUCAUGAAAUCUGUAUCUAAACUAUAUCAAUAAAUACUAUUCAAGAGAAUAUAAAAAUUUCUUCCAUGUAUGCAUUUCUGUUCAUCUAGCUCAUUGCUUAACCACAGAAGGUUAUAAUAAUAAUAAUAAAAACAAACAAAAUAAAUGUUUGUUAGAUGGAUAUUUAUAU